This is a non-coding RNA of Caenorhabditis elegans, 21 nucleotides long. The record is from Ensembl. NCBI's taxonomy places the organism in Eukaryota, Metazoa, Nematoda, Chromadorea, Rhabditida, Rhabditidae.
UAUUUCAUCUGAAAGAAAACC